UUUUUUUCUCCCCUUUUCCCAGAAAGAAUAAUGCUCAGAGUGAAGUCUGCACCGGGAGUGUUGUUCCAUGUGAAGCACCAUGACUCAGAGCAGCUUUGGGUGUACAUGAGGAGCUGUGACCUAAUGAGGCACUGUGCAACUCAUAACCACAUGAAGAAAUACGAAGCUCCACGCUCAGCCUCUUUAAAACAAGCUGCUAAGUGCUGCAGAGCUUCAGGAGUACACAACUGAUGAGCACGGAGCAUCUGUGGCAAAGGAAAAAAACACCGUCUUCAAAUUUUGAGGAGCAAACAUGACCCUUUCUGUUUCUACUGAUUUCCACCCACAUUCAGUUAGUGCGAGAGAAGGAGGAAAAUGA
Meleagris gallopavo (turkey) is the source of this 358-nucleotide non-coding RNA. Lineage: Eukaryota; Metazoa; Chordata; Aves; Galliformes; Phasianidae. The record is from RefSeq and is a predicted model, not a curated record.